CGAGAAUUAUAAUCAUUAAUCGAUUUUAUGUUAUUACGCGCUGUUUAAGAUACUUCAUAGUUAAAUAAAUUGCAUUUUAUAUCAUAUGAAAUACACACAUAUACAUACAACAUGUACGUACAUGCGCACGAGCUGUGCUCUUUUUUUUAAACUUAUAUAAAAGACAACACCUUAAAACUACAAGAAACGAAGAAAUAUUUAAAUUAAUAAAGACCAGUAACUUUUAAAUUUUAAUAGAAUAGAUUUUUGCAUACUUAUAUAAACUUUUAUUAUCUAUAAAAGUAAGCAGUUACAUAUUAUUGGAACACAAAAUUGGUUAUAAUUCCAGAAUAAGGUCAAAUAGAAUACAUGUUCAUAUGAUAUUUUUUUAUUGAUUUAUGUUCCCUGCUGCUGAAGUGGGUUCCACAUGUUAUGAAACACUCUAUAUACUUAACAAUAUCAUAUUUUAUUGUAAUUAAUAAAAGAUUGGUUUGCAUUAAAUUAAAAAGGAAAGUAUAUAAAAACACGUCAAUUUAGUAUCAUGAUAUAUCAUGAUAAAAAAAAUGCUAUUUCAACGCAAAUACCAUUCGUCUUCUAUUGAUUUGUGACUCACAAGUCGCUUUCGUCCUGCUUACGACGAGUUGAGUGUAUCAAGGUAUUUCCGAGAAAAAAGCGGCACCGAGAUUCGGCGUUUUGCGAUACUCUUCGAGAGCAAGAAGCAGUCUCCCCGUGUUAGUAUGUUUGCGCUCGCUGGCUCGCGACGGCGGAGAAGGAAGGGAAACAGAUUAGAGCGAGCGCGAAGGUAGGGGGAACGUGGAGGAACGUACGCGAGAGAGAAGCGGUCGCGUGAGAGAAGGGUGGGAGACAACGAGUCCGUCCGUUUGCUUGCCAAACGAUCCCAAAGAUCGCGCUAGCGUCGCUUUCAGCUCGUUCGGCUCCGAGCCACAGGCAGAGCUCUCAGUUGACGCUCAGUUCGGCUCAGUGAGGCCAGCGAGAAGAAAGGGGGUCUUUCUAUGUGUGUGAGGGUCGUGCGUGUGUGUAUCAACGUACGAUUUUCGAGGCCGUAGACAUCACUGUUCGCUGAAAACUCCCCAUUGCGUUAAACCCAUUGUCAAAGGGUGGCUCUACCUGAUUUGACAGAUCACGAAACGGGACUCCAUAAACAAGGAUUUUCACUCGAAUCACAGGAACACACUUUCUCUCCGUGACAACUCCUGUGCUUUUCAUAAUCAUAUUUGUGACAUCAGUGGAUUCCGUGAUUGGAUAGGAUACGACGGAUACUAGUCGCACACCAACGGGACGCUUGAUGAAGUGUCCCCGAGAUCCCUUCGCAAUGGGGAUGACAGUAAUUACAGGUGACGGAGACGGGGUGACACGCGGCUCGUGCGUAGUCGGCCGCGGGACGACAAUAGCACAGUCAGCCGCACAGUGAAUUACGUUUUCCCCGCCAAGAGAUCGACGAUUGCCAAGUAUCCUGCCUCCUAAAUGGUUUAAACGCGCGCGCUACUUUUAACGUCCCAUUCUGGAUACUAAGCCCGCGCGAAGUGAUCAACCGACUGUUCAUAAAGAUUCGAUAUUUUUACGGUCUGAUGUAUGAUACACACUCUGUCUAAAUCGCGCUGUGUUACUUUGUUUUCGUUCCAAUCCUCAUCCGACAUCGUUGGACCGAUUGAUUAUUGGACAACCGUACAUAAUAUCUGCACAAUCUAUUAACGGACUACAUCCGUGACGUUUGCACGUGGCACGCUCGCUGUCACAUUGAUCAUCUCGUCUGCUGCCGUCAACAUCGUCGUGGGAUCAUUCGGUGUCAUCGUCGCGCGUGGACCUUUCCUCGACGGAUUUGUCACGCACUUUAUCGCGCCCCUGUGCUAUCCUCUGUGUUGCCUGUGCCUCCUUACUUCUCUGUCCCUCGUUCACCUACCCCUCCACCUGUCUGUGUGGCGCUGCACACCCUCUCCCCCGCCACCAACCCCUCAUCGGACGCGCGCGUAUUCGCACAAUUUUCUCUAUCCCCACCCUCUCUUCCCCCUGCUCCUCGCGCCUUCACUACUUUCUGCAUUCGUUUUCUUUAUCAACCCCGUGAAUUCACGGAUCAACACGGCUCGGCGACGAUGAGCUUGCCGCCUCUCACUACCUGGUGAAAACUUAACUGCUCCACCACGUGCACAUUUUAUCAUACUUAUUGUCGUGAAAUUUGUGACCUGCAUUCAAUCGGAAUUCCGAACAUUGGGCAAAUCGUGGAAAACAUUGUUCCAAUCUGGAUCUCAUCUAUGUUUAUGUUAUGAUCGGGACGACUACGCGACGACCUCCAUACUUCGAGUGAAUUUCGGUCGACUUGUGCACGGAUCGACUGUGAUUGUUACUGAACGAUUAUCACGGGACCGCGAUCCGUGCCGAUUGAUCGCGGCACCAAUAUCGUUAAAACACCGGUAAUCAACCGUCAUCAUCUGCACCAUCGCCGAUCACGUGGCUUGCUCGACGGCGACGCUGUACGAUAAUGUUCACGCCGCGCCUCUAUGUGGCUCCGGCGUGGGCCACCCUGGCUCCGUCACGCCGAUGGGGACAGCAACCGGAGCGGGGAAUUCCACCGGGGUGACCUGGUGGGCCAUGAUGAACGGUUCCCUCUACGAAGACAGCCCGCCGCCAGUUCCACCGACAGCCUCGACGCUCGUAUCAAUUCAACAGCAGGCGACCUCGACACCGGGUUCCCAUCAACAGGCCACAACACCAACUUCACCCGGUGCACCGGUAUCAUCGGCAACGACAGCGCCACCCGCGCCUACCGCGAGCGCCAGUUCGACCUCGCCGAGCGCUUCCUCGGUAGCGAGCAACAGCACGGCUGGACCGCUCCAUAUACCUGCCAAGCGAUUAACCGCGACUCCAGGAGGCGGUGGUUCCACUUACGGGGAAGUCACUUGCGUAGAGUCCUCAGGUGGACCUGGUGGUGCGAGCGCGGCGGGCGUGAUACGACACUCUCACUCGUCCUCGGCGGGUUCUCAGGGCGGCUGGAGUUAUAGUCCGCAUCAUCAUCCCCAGGACUCCCAUUAUUCGUCCACGGCGGGCGAAUCGUUGAACCAUCAUCAAACUUACGGGGGUAAUAAUCCCCCUACGUACUACAACCUGGCGGCCGAUCCUGCUUCGACCUCCGGUUCCUCUAGGGACAACCGGAAGGCUGGGGCUACCCUUAGUUUCUGGUCGCCCGCAGCCGCUACUGCUGGAUCAGCCGGUACUGCCGGCUCUACCUCGGAUUACAAGUCGUACAAUUCGGCCGGUGUGGCGACGACGACGUCGUCUACCGGUGGGUCUACCUCCGGUGCAACUGGCGCAACCGAUCCAGCCGUGUCGUCCUGCCAUCAAAGCUUUUCCCAGAGCUGGUGCAAUUACGCACCAUAUACGACGGCGAGGCACCACCAUCCGGUCGACACGGCCGGGCAUCACCAUCCUCAUUCGCAGACGGGGGUACCGUAUCUGACACCAUCCGCAGCGGACGACCGGGGUAGGGUCGCUGCUGCUAUGGUUGCUGCGGAAGGUGCCUUUCCCCACGAUGGAUACGGCGGCCUGAGAAACUACGGAGCGCCCGAGCCUGUUACCUCCAGUCCUUACCCACCUCCAGUGAUGUGGGGUUCCUCCCCAUCUUCCUUGUUUCCCGCAGGUUCGCUUGCGGGAGUAGGCGUCGGGGUUGGCGUAGCAGGCAUGGGUGUUGGAUGUGGCAGUUCCAAUCCCUUGGAAUGGACGGGCCAGGUGACGGUGCGGAAGAAACGCAAGCCUUACUCGAAGUUUCAAACUCUUGAACUGGAGAAAGAGUUUCUCUUCAACGCUUAUGUUUCGAAGCAGAAGCGAUGGGAGCUUGCGCGUAACUUAAAUCUGACCGAGCGCCAAGUUAAGAUCUGGUUUCAAAAUCGCCGAAUGAAGAAUAAGAAGAACAGUCAACGGCAGACCCAACAGCAGAAUAACAACAACAACAAUAACAAUAGCAGCGCCAAUAACGCGAAUCAUCACGCGGCGACCGGUAGUCAUCAUCAUCCAAGUACCGCACACGCGCCACCUUCGAGUCACCACGUGGUUGCGCAGGCGCAUCACGCGAAUGGCUCCACGAAACAUCAUCAGUGACCCGUAGCCUUCUCUGGGGUCGUCUUCGGGCAUCACCAUCACAGCCACACCUCGUCCAGCAGUGGUAGCAGUCACGGAGGCAGCCAUAGCAGCCUGGUAGCAGGUCACAGCCAUAGCCUCCACGCGCCGCAGCCCCAGACACCGCUGCCGCCGACUCACGCGUCGUCGUCAGGAACCGUGACGCCCGCCACGGCCGUGGUCCAUCCACACGCACAUACGCACGCACACGCCGGUAGCCACCACCAUCAGCUGACGCAUGUGGCUCAACAAUAUCCUGCGCUCCUACAUCAGACGCCUCAUGGCUUGGCCGCUUAAACAUAUUGGACGCCCCAGAGAAAAUUAGUCGAGACGCCUCAGAGAAGAAGAGAGAACGAAAGAGAGAGAGAGAGAAAGAUAGGUAGAGAGAGGCAGAGAAAGAGUCGAGGCGAUUCCACGAAACCGUCGAUCAAUAUCCACGUCCACAGAAACGACGAAAAAUCCUCAUGGACUCUAUCGAGCAGCCGUUUAAAGACUGCCUCCACUUGUAAGGAAAGAUAAAGUUCGCGCGUAGUAUAUUAUUAUUAAUUAUUAAUUAUUAAUUAUUAUUAUUAUGAUUCUUAUUCAACAUCAAGCGAAAACUUCGCUAUUGUAUAAAAGAGGCGCGUGUGGGGCUGCUAUUUUAUGCAGCCCGAAGACUCUUUCCGAGUAUCGGUAAUCAGGUGUCGGUAUUGUACGAAUAAUAUAUGUCAUCAUACGACACCAAGCAAUCUGUCCAAUUCGUAAUUCGGUAGUAUUUUCUCCACUUAUACAUACAUACGUAUAUACAUACAUAUAUAUGUUUGCAAAUAGAUAUAUGUAUAUGCACACAUAUACGUGUAUGUAUGUAUAUGUAUGGAUGUAUAUAUAAAGUAAAGAGUAAUUAAUGUCACUUAGUGUGUCCCUGCUCCUCCCGUUGCCCCAGUUUCCCCUUUCUCACUCCAAUUGCAUCGUGUCGUUACUUCGUCUUAUACUAUCGAGCCCAGAUUGCAUAUUGGAAAUUGAAACGUAUUAUACACUGGACUGAUCCCAUCAGACGUCAUUGAUUUUGCAGGUAGGACUGGAUGGUCCUUUGAGAAUAGAGGAUUGUAAAGCGGAUAGUUUCUUUUGAAGGGUAAGUGGACUCACUGAUCUCGUCUAAAUGCAUGUGUAUCUCUUCUUAAAUUAGCCUUUCACUUCGACAUUUACGAUUACGUUAGAAGUUACGAUCGUAUUAGAGAGUUACAGAAUUUGUGUCAAGUAUUUACACAUAAUUAAUAUAAAAAAGUGAUGUUAGCAAAACAUUUUUAUGACACAUCAUUUAUGGAUAAUUUAAUUUUUUUAUAUUCCUGAAACAUAUGUAAAACAAAAAGCCACAAUAGUUCUAUUUGUUUACUAUAGAUAGAGAAACGCGGCAUAUAUUUGUUUUUAAUAAAUGAUAGUUCCGGUAUUUACAUUUCAGACUUUGAUUUUUGACAAUGAAUACUAUUUAGUCUAAAUGUACUCGCAGUGCAGUCCACUAUUGUGACAUAUUGCGAUGUAUAUUAUAAUUAUGAUUCCUGACUGAUGUAGAAAGAGAAAGAGAGAGAAUUACUCUCUCAAAAGUUAAACGCAUUCUUCCCUUAUUAUUCAAUUAUGUUCUUAUUAUAACAAAAUAAGGAACAUGGUGAUUUUCGAAGUUAGCGUAAAAGACGAACGCAUCCAAAAAAUUAGAUAGCUAUGUCCACAGUGUCGUACUAAUCGCCUACCAAGGAUUGCAAACUAGUACCUAUAAUUCUUACUGUAUGUAAAAAAAAAAACGAUUUAUGUUAAAAGCAUAAAUAGUAGUCGGACUAGUAAGUGGUCGAUUGUACCAUUCUAGGCUGAGUUUGGGAACUUCAUGAAAACUACGGUGUUAUGCAGGGUCAAAAUUGUACGCUCACUUCUUGCCGUGAAAGAAACAAAAGAUUGUAGUACUUAAUGACAUGAGUCGAAUCUUCGUGUUUAAAGAAUAUGAGUUUUCAUACUAUUGGAUGUCUGAAUAUCUGUCGACAAAAACUGAAAAUGAUACUGAUAACUAACAUAUAGUCGAUUGUUAAUAUUUUCUUAAUAUUAAGGAUUCGUAAAUGAGAGAUCAGUUGUCGUAUUUUUAUUGAUUGUGUAUUUUAUGUCUUUUUUUUACAAGUAGACUUAAAAUAUAUACAAGUAAUACAUUUUUAUAUAUGUGGAAUAUUAUAUAUUAACAAAAUUUACAAAUAUGUAAAUUUUGUUAAUUCAUAUAUUUAACAAUAUAUCAACUUACACAAACAUAUAUAUAAACGCACGCACGCGUUUAUACGCGUGCGUAUGACGUCUAGUAAAUGUCACGGUUGUUGAUCUCUGGAAAUCCAGUGGACGUAGCAGCCUGUAGAUGUCUUUUCCGGUUGUUCUACACUUUUCGUUUAAAACCCAUGCUCACGUCUUUCACGACGAGAAAAAAAAGUAAGAAGAAACCGAUCUCGUAUGAACGAAGUCCUAAGCACGGCCAGAAUACAGGCAGAUAAUACUUUUUAAUCAGAACAUCAGCGAGUAUAUAAGUAAUUUAAUCAGAUGUUUAAUGCAAAUUAGGAAAAAAACUACCCCAAUGGAUCUCUAUUCUAAGGUGCAACAUUAUUUAAAUUAUAAGGGACUGCCGAGAGUCUGCGUGAAUGGCUACUAUAUAUUAUAUAUGCAUAUUUUGUGGCCCUUCUGUGUGUGCGUGCGUGCUUGUUUGUGUAUAUGUGUGUACGUAUGUGUGUGUAUGUGUGUGUGUGUGUACGCUUGGUAUAUAUGCGCACGUGAAUAUGCAGGUGGAUGCUAACAUGUGUAUAUGUGUGUAACUGGACGCACGCACAUGUAUGAUGCGUGUAUGUAUGUUCUGUCAUGUACGAACGUGUCACGGUUGUGGGUAUAAACAUAGUAUGAAGUGAAAAGAAAGUACACGCUAUAUGCACGGAAAAUCGAUAGGGAGAGAGAGACAGAUAUGCAGAGAGAUAAGGGGGAUAGAAAUGAGAACAAAAAUGAGGAAAGAAGGAUUGGAAAAUCAAGAAAAGAAUAGAAGAAAAAUGAGGAUGCGGGAUAGCUGCGAGCGACGAUAAAUAGAUAAACGCGGCGAUAACAAGUAUGACAGAGAGUAAAUAUGAACUCGUAUGAGAGACUGAGUUCUGGACAAUUGUAUAGUUCUGCCACAUGGUACUGUAACAGAAUUAUGUAACGGCGAUAAUAUAACACAACAGUAUAAGUGAUAAAAAAAUGCAUAAUUUUUAAGUGGAACAUUUAAAUAGGAAAUUUCGAGUGGAUGGUAGCGGUCAUGUUACGUUUGCCGUGCCGUCUGAGCUUUGCUGCAAGUUGAUUGUAAUUAAUUAUAUGCUACUGACGAUGUUUAUUACGAAUAUUCAAAUUCUUAAGAUUAUUAUUAUUAUUAUUAUUAUUAUUAUUAUUAUUAUUAUUAUUAUUAUUAUUAUCAUUGUGAGCGUCACGUUAAUAUUAUGUUAUUGUUUUUAUUGUGUGUUGUUUUGUAUGUACCUAUCAGCCUACAUAAUAAUAAUAACAUUAUUAUCACAGUAAUCCAUACACAGGCGCGCACACAUAUACACACAUACACACACAGGACACGUAAAGGAAUAGGGAAAGGAAGCAUAAAUAGACAUUAUUAUCUUUGUCCGCUCUAAAUACUGGCAUAAUUUUUCAACCCACAAGUUUACGGUGCACGAACUAAAGAGAAAUUUCAGAUCUACUAAUUUACAAACGGAAGUUGUACGUUUUCUAAUCCAUAGAAAAAAUUUGCAAUGUCCAAAGUAAUGCUAAUUUUCCAUCAAUGGUUUAGAAUUACAAACAUUGGAAUAAUUAAUGAAAUGAAAGAUUAUAUUGUAUAGUUGAAGCACCGAAAAAAGUGGGUGCUAGAAAACACGUUUUAUUUAAAAGAAAAGUUGUUUUUAUAUAGAGAUGUUUUAGAUGUUUUUUGUAAUUCAGUUGCUAAAAUAUUUUUCUGUUAUUUUUAUAUGUAGCGAUGGAAAAGCUGUAACUAUGCAUUAUGUCAUUCUUGACAGAUUGAAGAAAGAAACUGUGUUGUAAAGAUUUAAGUUAUAUUACAUUUUUUUCUGUUUACACGAUAAAGAGGUAUUGAAAAACAAAUCGACUAGCCACUUCAUGUCACACUGUAUAUUAUCAUGCGCUGUAUCUGUAAAUUAUAUGUGUGAAUAUUAAUAGUUUAAUAUUCCGUUAAAAAAAACUCCAUCCUUUAUAUGACAUAUGACAUAUAAACAUAUAACAAAAUAUUACAAAUAAAUCGUCAUGUUUUCUUUGUCAAA
Molecule: RNA transcript, 8390 nt
Organism: Odontomachus brunneus
Lineage: Eukaryota; Metazoa; Arthropoda; Insecta; Hymenoptera; Formicidae
Gene name: homeobox protein abdominal-B-like
Exons: 3
Source: RefSeq, a predicted model, not a curated record